AAGCGUAACAAGGUUUCCGUAGGUGAACCUGCGGAAGGAUCAUUACAGAGUUCAUGCCCGAAAGGGGUAGACCUCCCACCCUUGUGUAUUAUUACUUUGUUGCUUUGGCGAGCUGCUCUUCGGGGCCUUGUAUGCUCGCCAGAGAAUAUCAAAACUCUUUUUAUUAAUGUCGUCUGAGUACUAUAUAAUAGUUAAAACUUUCAACAACGGAUCUCUUGGUUCUGGCAUCGAUGAAGAACGCAGCGAAAUGCGAUAAGUAAUGUGAAUUGCAGAAUUCAGUGAAUCAUCGAAUCUUUGAACGCACAUUGCGCCCCUUGGUAUUCCGGGGGGCAUGCCUGUUCGAGCGUCAUUUCAACCCUCAAGCUCAGCUUGGUAUUGAGUCCAUGUCAGUAAUGGCAGGCUCUAAAAUCAGUGGCGGCGCCGCUGGGUCCUGAACGUAGUAAUAUCUCUCGUUACAGGUUCUCGGUGUGCUUCUGCCAAAACCCAAAUUUUCUAUGGUUGACCUCGGAUCAGGUAGGGAUACCCGCUGAACUUAAGCAUAUMA
RNAcentral lists this ribosomal RNA (544 nucleotides) under Sclerotinia sclerotiorum. Its description in RNAcentral is "eukaryotic LSU rRNA". Lineage: Eukaryota; Fungi; Ascomycota; Leotiomycetes; Helotiales; Sclerotiniaceae. The record is from RNAcentral.